This 425-nucleotide ribosomal RNA is filed under the name uncultured bacterium. RNAcentral describes it as "bacterial SSU rRNA". It matches the Rfam family "Bacterial small subunit ribosomal RNA", at positions 359 to 776 of the family's 1533-position model. The record is from RNAcentral.
GAAUAUUGGACAAUGGGCGAAAGCCUGAUCCAGCCAUGCCGCGUGUGUGAAGAAGGUUUUCGGAUUGUAAAGCACUUUAAGCUGGGAGGAAGGGCAGUAAGUUAAUACCUUGCUGUUUUGACGUUACCAGCAGAAUAAGCACCGGCUCACUUCGUGCCAGCAGCCGCGGUAAUACGAAGGGUGCAAGCGUUAAUCGGAAUUACUGGGCGUAAAGCGUGCGCAGGCGGCUCCUUAAGUCAGAUGUGAAAGCCCCGGGCUUAACCUGGGAACUGCGUUUGAAACUGGGGAGCUAGAGUGUGGAAGAGGGGGGUGGAAUUCCAGGUGUAGCAGUGAAAUGCGUAGAGAUCUGGAGGAACACCGAUGGCGAAGGCAGCCCCCUGGGCUAACACUGACGCUCAUGCACGAAAGCGUGGGGAGCAAACAGG